Molecule: long non-coding RNA, 1265 nt
Filed under: Equus asinus (donkey)
Lineage: Eukaryota; Metazoa; Chordata; Mammalia; Perissodactyla; Equidae
Description: lncRNA (ENSEASG00005038776.1)
Source: RNAcentral
AAAACAAAAAUUUAAUCAAAAUCAAAUCUCCAAUUGAGCCUAAUGGUCUUCUAGUGUUGCCAAGUGCUAAGGGUCUAGGUACGUGUCUACUCACCGUUCCCAAAACUCAUUCUCCUCUUUGCUGUUUUGAUUCUCCUUUCCUUCCUAUUCGCUAGCUGAGGAAGAUUUCAUGUCUCAUCUCUAAGGGUUUCAGAGCACUGAUCUUCCCUCCUCCCUUCCCCAUACUUCUGGGUACAUCAGACCAAACUGUCCCAAAUCUCCUCCAGAGGGAAUAUCUACUGAGAAAUCCUCAUGAGGCCUCUCUCUCGAGUUCCUUUACAGACUCCAGGAAGAACACAGAAUAUCUCAGUGUCUUCUCUGCUGGGAGCCAACUCCCUCACCCCCAGAGAGGUCUUCACCAACAGAUCAAUAAAGGAAACGCGUCAGCUGGGUGACCGUGGUUGGGAAAAAGAGGGGUGAACAAGCUCAGCACGGUCUGUGGAGGUGUCGAGCUCACUCCCCACGGCCUUCUCUGUUUCAGACUUGACAAAAUGUCUUUCUUCUCAUCAUGGAUGAAAGCUAUUUUCCUUAUUGCCUUGCUAUUUCCUCUUCACUCUGAAUCUGCUUUUUCACCACCAAAAAAAACAUUCUAAGAAGAUGAAUCUGGUGGAAAAUUUGAUUUUUGUCAUUAUGGUGAAUGCUGACUCUGCCAGAGUUACACAUUCCUACGCCUUUUAUUGCAAUCCUCUUUUGCAGUGGAUUCUACAAGCAAUUAGAGUAUUCUCAACCAGAGUUUUAAAUUCCAAGAUGACUGGACAAAGCCUGCUCUAGUAUACAAGAUGGAAUAUAGGAUGUUGAAGAAUUUUUCCAAUUCUAAGAAACUGUGAUUGAAAAAUUUUUAUCCUGUUUGUUGAAUUAUGAAUGACAGUUGCAAAAUUAUCUUAAUUGUAUUUGACAAUAUAAAACCUAAUGUAAUUCACAAUCAUAAAUCUUUCAAGCAAUGAAAGUUAAAUAAUACUAUCUUUGUUAAAAUACCAUUUCUUUCGUUGGUUGGUUAGUGCAUUAAAGCAAACAAAUGCUUUUGGUAACUAUGAUUAAAGAAGCAUUUUCAAAGGUGGACACAUAGUGCAUUACCUCGAUGUUUAUUAACAGUACAGACACUUGGGCUCUUGCUUAUCCUAAAGAAUCAAAACCUCUAGGAGUGAGAUCUGGGAGCUUGAAUUUUAACAAGCACUGCGGGUUGAUCUACGAUCCCAAAUAUUAGGGAAUAUGGACUUCAAUUAUAA